Molecule: ribosomal RNA, 464 nt
Filed under: uncultured bacterium
Lineage: Bacteria
Description: partial 16S ribosomal RNA
Rfam family: Bacterial small subunit ribosomal RNA
Source: RNAcentral
CCUACGGGAGGCAGCAGUGGGGAAUUUUGGACAAUGGGCGCAAGCCUGAUCCAGCUAUUCCGCGUGUGGGAAGACGGCCUUCGGGUUGUAAACCACUGUUGUAGAGGACGAAAAGUCUGUUGAUAAUAUCGUUAGAUGAUGACGGUACCUUAACAAUAAGCACCGGCUAACUAGGUGCCAGCAGCCGCGGUAAUACGUAGGUUGCAAGCGUUAUCCGGAAUUACUGGGCGUAAAGCGUUUGUAGGCGGUUUGCUAAGUCUGAAGUAAAAGCCCGGGGCUAAACCGGGGCAGGCAUUCCAUACUAGCAGACUAGAGUGAGUUAGAGGGGAGUGGAAUUCCAAGUGUAGCAGUGAAAUGCGUAGAUAUAUGGAAGAACACCGAAGGCGAAGGCAGCCUACUGGGACGAAACUGACGCUCAGAGACGAAAGCGUGGGGAGCAAACAGGAUUAGAUACCCCGGUAGUC